This 256-nucleotide long non-coding RNA is filed under the name Mytilus galloprovincialis (Mediterranean mussel). Lineage: Eukaryota; Metazoa; Mollusca; Bivalvia; Mytilida; Mytilidae. The record is from RNAcentral.
GCCAAGGGUUACGAUCCACUCCCGUUCUCUUUACCCUUGGCGGAUUGAGCUAACAUUUGUGAUAUCAAUGUUGCGCCAUCUAUCGGAAGAUUAAAGUCACGCCCAUUCCGAAUACAUUAUUCUUGACCAAUGGUAGCACUUGAACUCUUCAAUUUGGAGGUAAAAUCACGGUAACGUCUAGAUUCUACACACUUGGUAAAGCCGGAAACGAAAAUAUACGUCGACAUUCAUGCAUUUGUGCAUGAAACAUACACAG